RNAcentral lists this long non-coding RNA (784 nucleotides) under Vitis vinifera (wine grape). RNAcentral's name for it is "long non-coding RNA (VVIN_LNC004293)". Lineage: Eukaryota; Viridiplantae; Streptophyta; Magnoliopsida; Vitales; Vitaceae. The record is from RNAcentral.
UUGAUCCUCUUGGGCUGCCCAACUGGGCCCAACCUCAGCGACCCAGAGAAGUUGAGGGACUUGAAGCUAGGCAAGCAGUAGGAGAAUGUGGAUUGGUAUAGGUUUUGGGUCUGGGACAGCAACGACAAGGGGCCUCGGCCCAGGCCCAGGAGGCCCUGCGCCGGUAGGGAUCCGCCGGUGGCCUUUUGUAUGCAACCGAAGCUGUAGCCGGGGACUGCAUCGGUGGCUAGGGUGAUGGUGUCCUGUGAGAGGUUGGCUGCUAAGGAGGAGCCACCAUAGGUGAGGUUGAAUGAGCACACCCCCCCACCGCAUGUGGGUUUUGGCACCUGAAAUUACGCGAAGAUCAUAGAAGUUAAAAAGUCUUUUUUUAUAUAAAGGCCCUGGUGACAUGUCAAGAAAAAAACAAAGGAAACAACACUCGGAGAUGUGAGUAAUGGUGAGAGUAAAUGCAGUACCUGCUUACACUGAGCAGCUUGGCAGCCAAGGGACUUGUAGGUAGUAGAGGCAGGAGAGUUAAAGAGAGUGGAGGAGCAGCCCAGACAGCCAUUGCAAGGAAUCCAAGCAACAUCACUGCUGGUGUCCAUGGCCAUGAGCAUGGUUUGAGCAGGAGUUCCAAUCUUAGCCCUCACAAUAUAAGUUGGGUUCUGGACGAUCUGCCUGCCUGAAGCAAUAGGCACUACAGAUUUGCGGGCGACAAGGCUAGAUAAAAACUGGAGCCUGGCCUUGUCCUUGGCCUGCAUUUGGAGCACACUCUCCUCCCAGGACAGUGGCUCUUUUGGCCUGA